This 23519-nucleotide long non-coding RNA is filed under the name Marmota monax (woodchuck). The record is from RNAcentral. Lineage: Eukaryota; Metazoa; Chordata; Mammalia; Rodentia; Sciuridae.
CACGUGCAGAGGUACUAGAAAGCAUGCACCGACUAGUCGCGGUACCUUCCAAAAAUACCCAUGGGAGUCUGGGCUUCCCUGAGUUUAGAGUAACUGCUGCCCAAACUGAUGAUUAAAACACUGAGUAAUCACCAUUUACCCUGAGUAAUUAGAGAUAAUGAAACACCUCUAAAAUCAGGUUAUGGAGAAAGGAGCUGUUGGAUUGGUUUAAAGGGUGGCCUUCCAUAAACUGUUAAAGAAGUUCCAAACGUUGAGAAACAGGCUGUGCACAGAGCUGCGUGCCUGAAAGAUACUUCUUCAGUUCUUAAAAGGUGACUUUCCAUCCAAUUUUUUUUUUAAGUGUUACCUGUGGAAAGCCUUAGUGAUGACCCUUAGAAACAGGAUCCCAUUAAAAGGGCUGCUUUCUCUCCUUUGCCCGGACCUUACCUUUGAGAGGACAGAAGUGCCUUUGCAGACAGAUUGGGGCCAUAUUUUUACAGUUAGAAAAGUGUGUUUAUAGUUCAGAAGCCCUCUUAAGCACUGCCACAGCAGUUAUUUUUGUUGUUGUUGAUUGUUUAUUUGUGGUGUAACUAAGAACACCUCAUCUCAGCAAUCUGACCUUCCAAGAGGGUAACAACCACAGAAGCUACCACCUUUUAGGCCACAAGGAGACAAGAAAAGAUACCCUUUGGUCUGUUUUUAUAAGAAGAAGGGGGAUGCCGAAUUGGCCCUUUUGUGCACCCCCCCCACCCCCAUGCUAGUAAUCAUAUUAGCAGGGAGGUGGAAUGUGGCUUUUAAACCUUCCCAAACAGGAACUAAUUUCACACACUGCCUCUGAUGGAGCUGUGAGGGAGCUAUCAGCCCCAUCUCUGUUUUACAAACAAGGAAGGGGAAGGACAGCAAGGUUAAAGGGACUUGCCCAAAGCCCUGAAGUAAAUCACAGCCUCUGCUCUGCAGUCUUGAGGUAAUGCUUCAGGGCAGAGUUGAGGCUCACAGCCCUGAGCUCCAGGUAGCCAGGGAGGACUGACCAUUUCCUGUCCUGGAUUUCUUUCCCUGGAUAGACUUUAUACUUCCCUGUCUCAGCAAAGCAUUGAGCUCUUAAACAGAUAAUGGCCUAGGGUAGCUCAUCUAUAAAACUUUACAUUCACACACCUUCGAUAUUUAGAAAAUAGAAACUAUUUCCUGUAAUCUGGGAGCAUAGGUCACAAAAGGUGAGAAGUGUGCAUGGAGAGCAGAGAAACAACUAUAGAGCAGGACCAAAGCAUCCUGCCUUCUCUUCCAGGCUUGGUGAGAUCUUUUGUCUGAACAACAGAAACAAAGAUGUAUGCCUUUGGCCAAGUUUUUUCAUUCUUGUGAAAAGAUUAGGACAGAUAUUCUCCAUGCUCCCCUUAAAUCUGAAAAUGAUUUGAUUAUUUUAUUGUAGUUUUAAUGAACAUCCACCUUUUCAUUUUAAACCACUCCUGAAUCUCGCUCCUCUAAGAACCUCUGAUUAAACAGGGCAGGGCCGUAACACCAGCCUGGAAAGAUGACUGAAAAUAUACCUGCAGCUUCCAACACAGUCAAAAUUACAAUUAAUUAUUAAAACUAACAACACAAAAUUAAAAGUCCAUUAAAUAGUUACUAAUGUCUCUCCUGCGGCAUCAGGGCAGUAUGCUCCUUUAGCACACUGUAAAGACAUUUAAUGUUCACUGAGCCCCCUACAUCAAUCACUAUUAUUUUAAUUAUUAAUAAAAUGUGUCCUUUAAUAUUUAAAUUCAGAAACAACAAUGAUAUGAUAUACUUAAAAGCAGGACAAUGUUAUUUUAUUUUAAAGCCCUACGUUGUUUGUUUUUCUAAUCCCAAAUGUUUUUGGAUGACAGCUAUUAUCUCAUUUUGCUGAAGCCCAGACAAUAAAGUGGCAAUCGCCCACCCAUGAGUCUGUGAAACCCACAGUCUGGGAGUUCCCAAUUAAGCCACCUAACAUACCUUGUUUAGAUACUGAUAUGGAUCUUUAGGUAUGUGAUGGGAGAACAAGGCUGUAGUUCUCUUGGGACAGCUUUAUUUCCUUCCCCACAUUUUAGAUGAGUGCAAACCACCUAUUGUCCACUGCUUUUAACCCACUCUUCCCCCCCCCCCCAAGAACAAAUAACUUGUUGGUUAAAGAGCCUAUCAAACACAGACCAAUGAUCAGAGGUGGUGAGGGAAAUCCAUCUAGUUCUUUUCCCCCUCUCAACCUCCUCUUGAAUCUUGAUUGUUUUACAAAACAUGAUAUAGAUAGACCAAAUAAAGCUCUACUUUAAAGCAUAUAAAUUAAGAGAAGAAGCCCAUAUAAUUCAGGAGCAACUAUGGCUCCUGUGCUCCUCCUGCUCAAUGAAAGGAAUUUGUUUGUUAGGUUUUUUCCUAGAGAGCAUCAAGAAAGAGUAGCUGGUCAACAAGCUCUUGGGACAGACUUUCUCAAGGUAUGUUCUGAGGGUUAUAAGUUUCACAAUACAGGUGGGAGUGCUAAUAAAAUGCAGAUUUCCUGCCCCUGACCCAGAUCUGGAUCUAGAAAUCUGCAUUUCAUAAGGUUCCCUCAUGAUUCUGAGCACACAGAAGUUUGAGAACUACUGUUUUAAAAGUGAUUUCACUUAGUUUCAAGACUGAUACAUACCAUUAAAAAUAGAUACCAAGACAUUAUUGAAUAAGCAAGGAAGUUGCUUGCUUAAUACUUUAUAAACUGUUAAAUAUGGCCCUUAUAGUCUUACUAUGCCCAGAACACACCAAAAAAGUCUACAGAGGUAAAAAAAAUUUUCUAAUUCUGUAGACAUAGUAGUAGUUGCUUCUGGGUCCUAAACUAAGAACCACAUGGAGUCUUCAAACUUUCUAUUGAAGCAAUAGGGGAAUACUUUGAAGAAUUCCCAGCACCAUUGCUAACUGUUGAGAAGCAGUAAGAUAGAGCAAUUAAAAGUGGAUUGGAAGGUGUUUUAGUCAGCUUUUUUGCUGCUGGGACCCAAAGACCUGAUAAGAACAAUUUUAGAGUGCUCAUGGUUUUAGAGGUCUAAGUCCAUAGAUGGCUAAUUCCAUUGCUUUGUGCCCCAGGGAUGGCAGAACAUCAUGGUGGAAGAGUGUGGUGGAAGAAAGUGGCUCAGGACAUGGCCACCAAGGAGCAGGGAGAAAGAGACAGCUCCACUUUCCAGGGAAAAAAUAUAUAUCCCAAAGACAUGCACCCAAUAACUCACUGCCUCCAAUUACACUGUACCUGUCUACAUUACCACCCCAUUAAUCCCUAUCAGUGGACCAAUGCACUGACCAGGUUAGGGCUCUCAUAACCCAAUCAUUUCAUCUCUAAACUUUCUUGCAUUGUUUUACAAAUGAGCUUUUGGGAGAUACCUCAUUCUAAACCAUAGCAGAAGGGAUCUCUGAAACUGGCUUGGACCCUUAGUUUUUCUUUUAUUAAUAUAUACCAUAUAUUACAUAUCUGUUCUCUAGCCCUCACAACAACCCACAUAAAUCCCUCUUCUACAGAUGAGAAUCUGAAAUUUACAUAGGCUAUAUAAGUUGCUCAAGGUCACAGAGCUGUAGUGAUGGACCAAAAGUCAGACCAUGUCAGUCUGUCUCCUCCUCCACAGCCUGAACUGGGCCUGCAGGGAGAUGGAUGGAUCCCCUGUGGGAAUAGACCCUGUGGAUCCCUGUGGAUUCACCUAAAAAGUCCUGCCCUGAAGGCUUUUCCCAGGCCAAGGCAUCCACUGAUGUACCUUGCAGUGUGCUAGUACAGGGAAUUUCAGAUUUUUCCCAAGUUCUCCAAUGACGGAACAAAAUCAAGACCCCAUGUUUGUUUCUUCUUGACAUAGAGCCCACCUUAGGGAAAGACUUUCGGUUCCCUCCUCUGAAAAAAAGGUUGUGAUCUUGAAAAAAGAUUCUAGUUACCUCUGCUAGGUCAAAGUUUCCACAUUGUAAAAUGUGAUGACUUGUAAAAUGUGAUGACUGAACAGGUUUUUCACAGGUUUCUCAAGCCCCAGGAUCUACAGACAGUAAUCCUAGUAGUUAAGUCAUAGUCAAAUGGCUUAUCCUUCAGUGUCUCAGUUUCUUCAUUUAUAACCUGAGAAUCAUUUUUUUAUUUCAUUAUAUUCCUGUAAUCAUUAAAUGAAUUGAUAUACUCAAAUGGCAAGCACAAAGGGGGUCAAUAAAUAUUAGUUAGUAUUAUUCCUUACAAGAGUAGUGAUUAAAUGAGCAAAGUAGAAGGUAAAGAAACACUUUGCUGUUGAGUUUUAUUUAAAGGUCAUGAUAAAUUUUUGAAAGGAAAAGGUUGUGUCUCACCUUUAUUGCAUACACCUCAAGUGUUUAUUGAAUACCGGCUGCUGUUUACAUGAAUAGCAUUCAUUGAAUUACAUUCAUUAUAGUUUUACUAUGACUAUACCUCUGCCAAAAUAACCCAUAACUGUCAAAGUCAUACCUACUGAGAUCAAAGAAAUGAUGGACUCACUGACACCUCCAAUGCAUUUUCCAUCUCUGAUUUCUCUGAUUCCUAAGUCCUCUCACUUUAGAAUUUUCUCUAUCCAUCUUGUUAAAAUCUAAACCUGCCAGGCCCCGUGACACAUGCCUGUAAUAUAAGCAAAUCAGGAGACUCAGGCAGAAGGCCAGCCUUAGCAACUUAGCAAGACCUUGUAUCAAAAUAAAAAAAUAAAACAAAAAGGGCAGGGUAUGUAACUCAGUGGUAAAGCACCUAUGGGUUCAAUCCUCAGUAUGAAAACAAAAACAAAAAAAACCCUAAACCACUUCCUUUAUUCCUGGUCAAGAAGUUUUUGUUUUGUUUUUGGCAGUCCUGGGGAUUGAAUCCAUGGCCUUGCAUGUGCUAGACAAGCAUUUGACCACCGAGCUGCACCUCCUAACCCCAAGAAGAAUUUUUAACCCCGUUAUACAAGUUGUUCCUUCUCUAAACAUUCAAGACUGUUGUCCACUCUUGAAGCUAUUAAUACUGGAUUUUAAUAUUUUCUCGUGAAAAAAAAAAAGAAAAUACAAUACUGUUUCAUUUCCCUGUGUCUUGAAUUUUUGUCUUGCUACUCUCUAGAAUAUAAUCCUUAAAAAAUAAUUCCUUCAAAGUAUAACAUGAAAAAUGGGCAGAUAAUUCUAAUUGAGAUCCCAGUGAUAUCUGAUGGAUGAGAAGAGUGCUUACAUGUUUAGCGCUUACAUGUAACAUGUAUGAUGGCAGACAGGGCACAGAUGUAGACAUUCUUUCUUUUCCAAGAAAGGUAAAGAUGGGAGCAGCACACAAUGAAGGAUAUUUAGCUUUGCCUAUUUAAGUAUUUAAGGCUUCCUUUCCUAAAAAAAAUGGUCAACUGUACCCACCUAAUUCUGUGUAGCAGGUGUGCUAUUUGGAAAUAAAUUCUUCUAGAAUGUGUGAAAAAGGUUAAAACUUUGGAAUGUUUUUGUUCUCAGUUCACAUAUCCUUCUCAUUCACUAUUUGUCUCCCUGGUGUGCAUGAACAGUGUGACCUGGACAAGAAUGCAGUGUCACUAGAGGAUAGGUCUUGGAGGCAGGGUGCAGUACUACUCCAAAGUCUGACUACCAAGUGAUUAUUGUGGUUUCCCAAUCAUAUGUUAAUUGGGUAGUAACAACUAACAUUCUUUCCUCAAUUCAUGCUAAAAGCUUUCUAUUCUUUUGCAUGGAAACCUUUAUUCACAGGAAUAUGUGAUCCAAGAAUUUUUUACCAUAUAAGUAAAGUUGGGUAUUUUUACUCAUAGUCCAAGUAUGGGAACCCUUUCACUAAUGUCCUGUUCAAGAAUAAUUACAAAUUGUUUGUAAGCCCCUCUAGGAUUAUAUACAGAUGAAAUUAAUGCUCACUAUGUGGGAACUCAUUAAGUUAUGUACCUGAGAUUUAUGCACUUUCUAUUUAUGUUAUAUUUGAAUAAAAAGUUUAUGGAAAAUAUGACUUUGACCAACAAUUGAAAUACUUUCUUUGACCAACAAUUGAAACCCCCAACAAGAGACAAUGCUUAGAGCCAAAGGGAUUUGCAGGGCAAAACUAGAAGUAGCUGAUCUGUGAUCUGCUGGUGGCCACAACCCCUGAAAAACAGAACUAAGGCCUCAGGAAAUCCACUCUGGGUUCCUCUUCAAGGGUUGGCCAUACCAACCAAAGCCUGGCCUCUUGGCAUCAGAGAAACCCAAGGUGGAAGGCAAAUGCCCAAAGAUUCCUGUUACUUUUCUCAAAUCUAGGGAGGGCCAGGAACCUCUAGGCCAAAACAAAGAUUCCCAGAGGCAUCUGUGACUGGCUGAGGGGUUUGAACUGAAUAUUAUAGGCAUCAGUCUGAGGGGAAAUGCCAGGGUCCCCCAAUUUUUUUUCUAUAAAAAUGCAUGAAAACAAAACACAGAUAACAGCUUAAGAGAAAGAAAUGGGCUCUAUGUCCAGAUUCUGGAAACUCAAGGCUUGGGAGAUGGUCUGGGGAGAGAAUAGUAAUAAAGAAAAUGGGACUCCAAAGAAGUGACUUGAUCCUUCUUCAAAACUGAGUCCCAGCUUGAUGCAAAGAGAUAAAUCUAGGUUCAUGUGGCCAACAUUUGGUCCUCUUCCGGGUCUUGAGUCCUCAGGGCCAGGUUCACAGAUCAGCAAACUCAAUUUCAAGGAAAAUAGAUUUGUUGAGAGAAUGAGCUGCGAGUGGAGAAAGUAAGGUGCUGGUUUAAUCCAAGGAAAGAGUCUUCCCCUUGGGAGGCAGCUAAGUUGCACCCUGAGCUCACCUCCUGCAAGCAGAUGGAGUAGGUCCUGCCAGAGCUCAUUCCAUGCUGCACCUGGCCUUCCCUGAUUGCAGGGGGGCUAGCAUGCUAAGCUACGGACAACAGCUUCACCAGGUCCAGAGCCUUCCUAUCCUCCCCAGACCAGCUGCGGGGGUGGGCACAUUUUUUCUCAGCUCCUUAUCCUCCUGCCCUCUCUGGUCAGAUGCAUAGCUGAACCUCCCCCAUGUGCCCUCUCCUAAAGAAACUUCAUGAUUAGGCCUAGAUGCCCAAGGGCCACAAUGGCCUGGCAGAUCGUGGCUGUUUCCAGAGGCUCAGGAGGCUGCCCGGUCCACUCCUUGGGCACUCCUAGCGGGUCCCUGCGGCGAUGCCCUAUUAACCUGUGCGUCUGUUCACCGUAGGCAGAGGGUUGGCGGGACCACGCCGCACAGCUCAGCCUGGGUGCUCUCACUGCAUCCUCGCCUCUACAGUGCGGCCCCAGCCUCCACCGCGUGCCAGUGUUUCUCUUGCCCUCAUUAUUUUUAGCUCGGCGGCUGCACCCUCCUACCUGCAAGAGCUCGCCCCGCUCUUAAGACUCGUUUUGCAGGAUUUGUGCCCCAGGUGGCUAACCUGACCCAUACUUGAAUAAACAGCGAGCACCCAACAACCCUGGUGAGCCACUCGCACGGAAUUUGCAUUCAGCCACUCCAGAGGCUCCUGACAGCAGAGCUUUCCCACCUUCUUUUUCAUCUACCAGGACUUAGAAACUCUGAACCAUUCUCCCAGUCAUAAGUAAAUAAAUAAAAUUUAGAAAAAGAAAGAGAUGGGAGGUCCUGAACUGAUACUCCUCUGGGAGGAAGUGAGAGGCUCCUGGUACAAUUUUAUCCUUGGCCCCUGGCAUUCUCCCCCUGAAGUCCUAAGGAUUCUGGGACAGAAGCCUCGAUUAUAUUUGGAGAAAAUUGAAUUUGGAAAGUAUUUGCAAGCUUGCUUCCCAAGCUAGACAUGGGCUCCACUGCUGUUUCCAAGGACAGGUUGUCCAGGGGCUAGAGCGAGGCUUUUCAUAUCAGUUAAGGAUAAGGGUGUGCUUCCCUCAGUGUCUGCUCUUGCCAAGUGCAGCAGUAGUAAUUUCAAGUUUAAACAACACUGGCAAAGUGAGAUUUUUAAGGCCAGGUGUGGGUGAAGGGACCUGAUGUAGAGAAAAGGAGCAGGAGGUGUGAGGUUCUAGCUUUGGGUUGCUGUUUCAGAUGGGCCCUGGUGGGCUAGAGGAUCUUUGCAGAGCAAUCGCCGGGGGUGGGGGUGGGGGGUGUUCAGCCUUUCCUUGAGCCAAUUAAACAACAGUUUCUCUCUUUUUUUAAUAUUUAUUUUUUAGCCGUUGUUGGACACAAUACCUUUAUUUAAUUAACUUAUUUUUAUGUGGUGCUGAGAAUCGAACCUAGGGCCUCAGACGUGCUAGGCGAGCGCUUUGCCAACUGAGCCACUAUCCCAGCCCCAAAUUAAGCAAAAGUUUAACUGAAUAAAGGAGUCUUCUUUAUUCUUCUUUCAUAAGGGGGAUGACUGAUUAGAUUUUGUAGCCUAUGCUUCAGAAUUCUGAUUUUCAUUUUGAAAAUCUGACUUUUACUCUUUGUUCAUUUCCUGCAUGUUAGGGUGUCAACUACAAGUGACAGGUAAACAUGACUUCAGCUUGAGCCAAAUGACCUGUGUGGCUCCUAGAACACUUUGGAUGAUCCCAUUUUAUUUCUAUAGUAUUGGAUAGAAUGGUUUGGCCAGUAUUGGAUGAUUGAAGGUCUAAGAGUCUUAAGGAGAAAAGUGAGUGUUGACUGUCUUUGUUAUACUUAAAUUUAAAAGUUAACCUGUUUAGAUUAGAGAUUCUUAAACCUCCUAUAAAGCUUCACUGGAUGGCUGUUAGGGGGAUCUAAAAAACUGACAUUCAUGCAUAACAUGCUUGGGGGCCAUAACUUCAUCAAAUUUUCAAAGGUAUUUGGGACCCAGAAAAAGCUGAAAGUCUUUCUCAUACACACCAUAUAUGAUACCAGAUUCCUUUUGGGAUCUGUCUCUAAGUGGCCUGCAAAACAACUUUGAUUCAGUGAUACAUAGAUUUCACACUCAACAAUGUUCUUAAGUUGUCACUGGGUUAACAGAAAGUCACUCUGUUAAGAGCUAGCACUAGCAGGCCAAAGGCCCCUAGCAGAAUAAUGACUUGGAGCCCAAAUCCCUGCUCUGCCCAUGUGAAUUAAACCCACAUUUACCCACCUAAGACUCUUGUGACUCUUAGUGUAAGGAGCAAAUGUUGAAGUGUAUGUGAAAUUACUUUACAGAUCACAAAAUAUAUGGCUGGUGGCAUUUACGAAAAUACUGAUGGGUUUUCACAUGCUAGUUAUAAUUAAAUGAACAAUUAUGUAAAUAAUUAUAAUUAAAUGAACAUUUGCAUAUUUUCUUCAACCAUAUACUUGUAAGGAAAGUCAACAUACUUUGAAUCCCUAAUAAUUAUUAGACAUUUUCAUGUUUCAUUAUCUCACCUAAUCCUUGAGACAACCUAUGGCUUAUAUGCUAUAGUUAUUACCCCUCCUCCCCCCCCACACACAUUUUUUUUUAAACAUUUGAGGAAAGAAACAUAGAUUAAAUUGCCUAAGGCCACCCUGCUAACAAGCACCAGGUUCCUACUCUAAACAAAAUCCCUGCUUUAAAAAGUGGAUAUUACAUAAAGUGCAAAUUUUGCUCAGAUUUAAGUAAAUUAUAUUCCUUGUGAGUUUGUUAUAAAAGUACAGGAGUUUAAAAUAGAGCAGCCACACUUGAGAUGUUCCGUCUUCUCAUGGACUUUUUGCUAAAAAUUUGUCUUUAACUUCCCUUCUAUUUCCUCCACAGUUCAGGUGUAUUAGCAUGUUAACCGAAAUUUAUGCACAUAUUUCCUUAUUAGUGGCAUAGAGCUUCUUCAACUAAUUAAGAAGGCUUAGGAAGGAAAGAGCACCUCUGUCCUCAUCUCCUGCAAUUCUUCCACUGACCCUUUGUAGUAGAAACCAUUAUCUUCAACAACCAGUGGAGGCCCAAACUGUUAUCUGUCCACAUGGUUAAAUAUCUCACUCAAGGUUAAAUAACCAAAACAGUGUGUUUGUGUAUGAGUGCUAUGUGCACACAUAGCACCAAGUCAUUGGCUAAUGAAAAUAAAACAGAUUUAUUUUGCUGCUCCCUGAGUUUGGGGCACAUUAAAAGAACUACUACAGGCUCUGGUCCACUCUCUUUUAAAUCAUUUCUGAAGUAAUUACCAUGGCAGGUAGAUUUGUUCAACAGAUAGUUCUCCAUUUUUGUUCCUCUUUAGCGUAAAAUAUAUAAUAGCCGAAUCUGUACACAGUUUGUGGAAGAUCCAGAGAGAGUAGGCAGACAUCUAUUCUUAUCUUUAAUAAUUAUGUUUUAAUUAUGUCUUGAGAACUAGUAUCUCAGAAAAUUAAUAACAAGAGCAAAAACAAGUAUGGAUCAUAGCAGGAACUUUGUUCAAAAACUUAUGAAGUGUGCUGUGUUUCUGUAUAGGACUCAGGUUGCUGAGUAGAUGAAAACGUUUUAAUAACACUUUGGUAUUUAUACAAGGAAGAAUUGAUGAAAUGAUUAUUAAAAGUAAAGUAGUGUGGUAUGAUCUUUUUUUUUUUAAUAGACUUGAAGACAGCCUGUCUUGGGCAUAGCUAAAACCAGUUCAUACUAUAUAUCUUACUCUGUUCUGUGCUGCUGUGCCAGAAGACCAUGAACAAGGUCAUUUAUAAACAACAGAAGUUCAUCUGAGGCUGGGAAUCUCAAGAUGGAGGGGCCACAUUUGGUGAGGACCUUUUUGCUGUGUCAUAAUGUGGAAGAAGGUAUCACAUGGAAAAACAGAGCAUAUGAGAGAGAAGGGGCCAAACUCCUCUUUUAUAAGGAUGCCAUUUCUUCAGUAACCAAUUUGCUUCCUUCAUAAUGGCAUUAAUCCAUUAAUGAGAGCAGAGACCUCAUGGCCUAAUCACCUAUUGUAGGUCCCACCUCUAAAUAUUGCUGCAUUGGAAAUUAAUUGUCUAACACAUGAACUCCGGGCAACACAUUCAAGCCAUAGUACUAUUGUCUGAACUUGGACAUUUCCCAAGUUACAUGAGAUAUAUGACCUCUAAAUUUUAGGUAUUGGCAAGUUUUACCUGUAAAGGGCCAGAUAGUAAAUAUUUCAGGCUUUUGGGGCCACUACCAUCUCUGUCAUUAUUUCUUCCUCCUUUCUCUUUCUUUUCCUUUCCUCCUUUCCCUCUUCCUCUUCCUUCCUCCUUCCCUUCUACAGUUAUUUACAAACGUAUAAUCAAUUUGUAUUGCCUUUUUAGGGCUAGCAUAGCAAAGUACCACAAUUGGGUGGCUUCACCAGCAGAAAUUUCAUUAUCUUUCAGUUCUGGAAGGUAGACAUUUGAGUUCAAGAUGUCAGCAGGGUUGAUUCUUUCUCUUUCUUUUUUUUUUUUUAGUUAUGUAUAUUAUUUAUUUAUUUAUUUAUUACAUACAUGACAAUAGUGGAGUGUAUUACAUUCAUAAUUAUCUAUUCACAGCACAAUUUUUUGUAACUCUGUAUAUAAAAGGUUGAUUCUUUCUGAGAGCUGUGAAGAAGAAUCUGUUCAAGCCUCUUUCCUAAUCUUCAGUGGUUUGCUGACCAUCUUUGGAGUUCCUUGGUGCUGUGGUUUGAAUGUGUCCAUAUGUUGGAGACUUAAUCCACAAUGCAACAGUGUUGAGAGGUAGGACUUUAAAGAGGUGCUUAGGUCAUGAGGGUUCUGCCCUCAUGAGUGGAUUAAUGUCAUCAUCCCAAGAAUGGGUUUCUGAUAAAUGGGUGAGUUUGGUUCCCUUCCCCUCCUCUGGCUCAAGCUCUCUCGCCCUCGCCUUGUCUUGCCCGUCUGUCUUCUGCUGUGGGGUGAUAUAACAAGAAGGAAAGCCCUCACCAGAUGUCAACAUGUUGAUACUGAGAGCAGAGACCUCAUGGCCCAAUCACCUAUUAUAGGUCUUAUAAUAGGUUUCCAGUUCCCAGAACUAGGACUUCCCAUUGCCUGUGAAUUACUUAGUCUGUAGUAUCCUGUUAUAGCAGGGCAAAAUGGGCUAAGACACUUGCCUUAUAGAAGUGACACCCUGAUCUUGGAAUUUAAAUUUACGUAGUGUUCUCCCUAUACAUAUGUCUACAUCCAAAUUUACCCUUUUUAUAUAAGGUCACUGUCAGAUUAGGGGCCUACACUAUUCUAGUAUUAUUUCAAGUUAACUAAGUAUAUUGACAAUGACCCUAUUUCCAAUCAAGUCACAUUCUGAAGUUCUGGAUAUUAUUUUAACAAAUGAAAUUUGGGGGAGACACAGUUCAAUCCAUAAGACCAUUCCUAGCUCAUCUAGAUAGGUCAUGGAGUGUAUGUACUUUGUUGAUCCCUUUAGUAAAAUUCUCAUUUAUUCUAAAAUCCUAUAAUUUUCUAUUCUACGUGACUUUAUGGGACAAUUUUUUUUUUUUUUUUGAGAUGUGGGCCUCACUACUUUGCGAAGGCUGGCCUUAAACUUGUGAUCUUUCUGCCUCAGCCACCUGAGUAGCUGGGAACAAGCAACCAUGCCCUGUUGUAUGGGACAAAUUGUCUAUUGUAUUUAUUCAAUUAACAAAUUUUAUUGAGCACUUACAUAUGCUCAAGCACUAUUCGUGGUGCCAGGACACAGAAGUGAAAACCUGAUAAAAAUUAUUUUCCUCCCAAGUCUUAAUGUCUAAUAUGAAAAGCAGACCCCCAACAAAAUAAACAAAAACAACCCAAAUACAUAAGAUGGCAGUAGGUUCUAAGAAUAAAAUUUCAGGGGCAAGAGAAAGAUAGCCAUUCAAUUGAAUUUUAAUAGGGUAGUCAGGGAAUAUUUCAAAGAAAAAGUAACAUUUGAGCAGAGAAGAGACCUGAAUGAGGUGAGGAAUUAGCACAUGAUAUCAGGUGCUAUGGUUUGGAUAUGAUUUGAUUAUGUUCCCCAAGGAUUCAUGUGUGGAAAGUAUGGUCCUCAGUGUGGUGAUAUUGGGAGGUAGUAGAACCUUUAGAAUGUAGGUUAAGUGUGAGGUAAGUAGGUCACUGGGACCACUGCUCUCAGAAGAGAUUAACGUAGUUCUCAGGGGACCCCAGUUAGUUCUGUGAAAGUGGGUUGUUAUUUUAUAAUAGGGAAGAUUCAGCCAUCACUGGGGUAUUUUAGAAUCCCAGGACAUCAGAGUGAAAUUAUCAGUUGUCAGUGUUUGCUUUAACAUCUGAAAAAAGCUUCCUGUUCUACAUCCCUGCAGACCACUGGGUGCUGUGGGUGAGGCGAUGCCCUCCUCUGCCAUGGCCCCCUAGGAAGCUGUCCUUCUGUUGAAUACUGUACCUUUGCUCGCUCUCAAUUCGAGUGGACUGUGCUUUAGUGUAUUUAUAAAUGAUGGAUUCAGUUUCUGAAAUUAAACUUUUUAUUUGCGGUUUUCCAAAAAAAAAAAAAUGUGAGUUGUUAUAAAAGAUCAUGUGAAUCAUUAUAAAAGAGCUCUCUCUACUCUCUGGCUUUCUGUCUCACCAUGUAAUCCCUCUGACAUGUACCUCUACCACAAUACUAUAUGCCAGGAGGUCUUCACCAGAAACCAAAAAAAAAAAAAAAAAAGGGUUUGCCCAACCUUAGACUUUCAUUCUUCAAAACUGUAAGUUAAAUGAACUUCUUUUCUAUAUAUGUUAUCCAGCCUCAGAUGUUUCAUUAUGGCUAGUACAUUUAGGGAAGUCAUGUUUCUGUCAAAUGAAAGAGCAAUCUAAGGUAGAAGUGAGGGCCAGAACAGCAAGAGGAAAGUGUGCUUGAGUAAAAAGGAGGCAGGAGAGAAUAUGAAGAGAUGAAAUCAGAGAUAAUGUGGGGUGUGAGGUGUUCAAUGGUGAAUAGUCUUGAAUUACCACCUUAGAUAAGGGUCAGUGUCAAGAUGAGGGUGGGGCAAGCAAAGCACACAGUUUAAGGAGGCAGUCAUUCUCAGAACUCUGCAAGUACAGGGUGGGCACCUAAGAGUGAGUUCCUCCUUAAAUUAUGCACCCCAGGAAUCUCCCAAGCCUCACCCUAGUUCUGGUCCAGGUAAAAGCUUUGGAUUCAAUAACAAGUGGGACAGGAAGCCUCUGGAUGGUUUUUAGGAGAGGGGCAUGAAUAACAUUAACUUUUAUCAGAAUUACUCUGACUGCUGUAUUUAGGACAAGGAUAGGAAAAAUGAAACAAGUUAAAAGCUCACUGAACUAGCUUCCCAAGAAAAAGUGAAUCAAGGCUUUAUACCCAAUAAUCCACCUAGGGGUGGGCCACCCUAAAAAGCUGUCAUGCAUAUAACCAGUGUAACUUGUGUUGUCUUUUUAUUUUCACAUGACUUUCUUUGGAGGUCAUCUGAAUACUAGACUCUAUGGCAGUUACUGGGAUUCCAUUCAAAGAAUCAACAAGAAAUGGUCCCUAUCUCAAAGAAUUAAUAUUUUCCUUUCUUCUUUUCUUCUUUUUUUCCUUCCUUUUUUUCUUUUAUAUUUUGAAAUUUUGCAAAAGCAAAAGCAAGCAAACACCAAAAAGUCUAAGUCCCCACUCUUACCUUCUUAGGAAUUCACUAUGCUUAUUUUCUGAUGCAUGUAUCUAUGCCCAUUCCAUUUAGAAUAGUAAAUAAAUGAUGAUAAGAAUUAGGGUACAACUUAGGAAAUUGGCCAUGAUUUAUUAUGAAUUCUCAUGAAAAUAUUAGACCUCCCUUUCACUCAUAGGAUCAGGAAUUUGGGGGACUUAAAUGUUAGAGGUCCUCACAUUCAACCCUCUCAUUUGUCUGAUGAUGAGACUGAGACCCAGAAAGACAAACCUCUAAUUACCCACCUACUUAGUGGUUGAGUGUGGCAGAUUGCAUUUUUAAAAGCUGUCUACAAUAAUUUGUUUUGUUCCACAUGCUCUUGAAUGCAACUUUGACACUGAUCACUGAGAAGAUGGGAGUCUAUGUUCCCUGCCUUGAAUCUGGGUAUAUCAGUUUCCUGUAGCUGCUGUAAACAAAUCACCAAAAACUUGUGGCAUAAAACAACACAUAUCUAUUAUUUUACAGUUCGAGAGAUCAGAAUUCCAAAAUAUGUCUUAGUAGGAUAAAAUCAAGAUAUUGGCAGGGCCAGAUCCUUCUUGAAGCUCUAGGGAGAAUCUGUUUCCAUGCCUUUUCAAGCUUCUAAAGGCUGCUUGCAUUCCUUGGCUCAUGGCCAGCAUCCCUCUGCCCUCUGCUUCUGUAUCAUAUCUCCUUUUCUGAUUCUGAACCUUCUGGAUUCCUGUUAUAAGGACAUUUGGGAUUAUAUUGUAGCCACCUGGAUCAUCCAGGAUAAUCUUCCUAUCUCUGGGUCCUUAACUUAAUCACAUCUGCAAAGCCCCUUUUGCCAGGUCAGCUAACAAAUUUACAGGUUCAGGGAUUAAACUGUGAACAUUUUAGAGUGCUCUUUGUUCUGCCUAACAAACCAGGUCAAUUUAUGACUACAGGAGAAUUGAGGUUAUGUGAUAUCCAAGGCAAGGUCAUGAAAGUGAUAUUGUCAAUUGUCUUGAAUCCCUUGCUUUUAGAACCCAGUUGUCCUUGCCAUGCCUUGAGGAGGCCCAAACUAACCCAAGCAGAAAGGCUACAGGAGAAGCCAUGUGUCAGUGUCCUGAAGAACAGCCAGCUGUGGCCUCAGCUGAUACCAGCAUCAGUGGGCACCCAUAUGAAUGAAGAUGCCCCCAGAUGAUUCCAGAACAUAGCUGUCACUUCACUUAGCUUUCAUGUCUUCCCACCUGAGGCUCUAGGUAUCACAAAGGGGAGAUAAGUAUCUCCACUACACUCUGUUGAAAUCUUGAUCCACAGAUAAUAUGAGAGAUAAUAAAACAAUUGCUGUUGUUGUAAGCCACGAAUUUGGAGGUAAUUUGUUACAAAGCCAUACGGAACUAAUAUGGAGAGCCACACAGCAGAACCUAGGUCUUCAGUUUCUCAGCUUUAGUGCUUUUUUCCACCUCAAUUAUUACCUUUCAGUCAAGCAAGAAAACCAGUGGUUGUUGAGCAGCUAUUAGGAACAAUGCCCUCUGGAAAAUGUAAAGAAUAUAAAACUUGCUCUUCAUUCUCAAAAAACAUUCCCUUCUCCAGUGAGAAAGACAUCCAGGUGCAGAGUUGGGAGGCUCGUAGGCAAGGCAUGGUAAGAGAUGGGAAGAACCCCAAGUAUGUCACAGGAAAAGGAGAGAAAAGAGAGUCCAAGGAAUAUUCUGAAGGUUAGUUGACAAGACUUCCUGGUGAGGAAUGCACAGAAAGAAGAGGUAAGGAUUCUAUUGUUUCUAGCUAUUAAUAUACAUAGGAAAUCUAGGGGGAGACCCAGGCCUGAGGAAACUUUAUGGUGUGCAAUCUGGUCAUCAGUGGAGCUAAUAUCUGUUCUCGAAAGCAUUUUCAUCACUAAGCAAUGCAUGGUUCCCAAUGAUGGAGCUGUUAGAGAACUAACUGGGAUCACCCUUGGGGGUAUCUGUACUAUUUAUUUAAGGAAUUAGACUUCUUAGCACUCAUUCCCAGUGCGUAUAUGGUUUUCAGUACCAUAUAUGGCAGAUGCUACAGUUUCACAUAAACUAGUAGCAGUUGUUCAUCCCAGUAAGUCAGAGAAGGGUGUGUGGAAUAGGUGUUGUCAUCACUAUUUUACUUCUAAGAAUAUAUUCAGAAUGUGGAGUGCUCCUUCCCCAUGUGUGCAUCCUCUUAAGCAGAAAGCUUUUCUCGUCCCAGAGAUGGAGCAAUUUUCUCCCCAUUGUCUGUUGAAUUCUGAGACAUUUUCAUAUGAAUUACAGAAAUACACAGACACAACCCUAACCCUAACCUCUAACCCUAACCCCCAUGAACAUAUUCUGUUUUAUUUUUACAAUGGGUCACUUUCACAAUGAGCUAGAAAGUUUGCUUCCACACAUUUAUAAACAUGGGAUUUCUGUCUGAAGUUGGGAAAAUGUUUCUUUUUCAACAAUGUCCAUGACUCCAUGGAAAAUCAGUGUCUUAAUGAUCUGAUUUGCAGAAAAUGCUAUUUGAAUUUACUUGAGCCACAGAGGAAUUAUUUCUACCUUUUAUUUCAUUCUUCCUACAGGCAGAGAUGGUAUGUUUGACUCUAUGGGAAGUUAGAAAAGCCCAUGACUACAAUAAUACACAUGAAACAUUCAAAUGGUUGAGAAAAAAUUAAAGGACUUUAAGUUUUAUGGUUUUAGAUGGGAUAUGCAUAAAAAUAGGCAUAUCAAUUCUCCAUUUUUAAAGAAAUAAUAUUUUCCUGAUUAUAAAAUACAUAAAACUUUACUUUUAAAAUUUCAGAAAUUAUUAUAUUGCUGGUGGGACUGCAAAUUGGUGUAACCACUAUGGAAAGCAGCAUGGAGAUUCCUCAGAAAAUUUGAGAUGGAACCACCAUUUGACCCGGCUAUUCCAUUCCUUGUUUAUACCCAAAGGACUUAAAAUCAGCAUACUACAGUAAUGCAGCCAAUGUUUAUAGCACAAUGCAGUCAAUGUUUAUAGCAGCUCAAUUCACAAUAGCUAAGCUAUGGAACCAACCUAGGUGUCCUUCAAUAGAGGAAUGGAUAAAGAAAAUGUGGUAUAUAUAUUCAGUGGAAUAUUAUUCAGCUUUAAAGAAGAGUGAAAGUAUGACAUUUGCCAGUUAAAUGGAUGGAGUUUGAGAAUAUCAUGCUAAGUGAAAUAAGCCAGUCCCAACAAACCAAAGGCAUAAUGUUUUCUCUAAUAUAUGUAUGUUAAUUCACAAUAAGGCAGGAAGCACUAGAGAAGAAUAGCAUUACCUUAGAUUAGGUAGAGGGAAAUGAAGGGAGGGCAGGGGAGGAGAUGUGGGGAUAGGAAGGAUAGUAAAAGGAAACAGACAUUAUUACUUUAUGUAUAUAUGUGACUGCAUGACCAAUGUAAUUCUACAACAUGUACACUCAGAGAAAUAAGAAAUUAUAUCCCAUCUAUAUAUGAUAUAGCAAAGUGCAUAAAUGCAUUCUAUUGUCAUGUCUAACUAAUUAAAAUUAAAUUAAAAUAAAAAAUUAGAAAAUAUGUUAAAGGCAAUAAGAAAAAAAAAAUCUCUUGUGAAUCUUUACCCAGAGAUAACUACUGUCUAUAGUUUGAAAAAAAAAUACUUUGGGCCUCAUGCUUUGCAGAAAAACCCUUGGAAAUUCUUAAUGAAAUUAUGCAUCACUUGCUGAGUUACAAGUGAUUUUUUUAGCCAGGGUGUUUUUUUUUUUUGUUUUUUUUUUUUACUUACCAUAUCACAAACAAUUUUAUGUCAAAUUUUAUUUAGGAAGUCAAUGUGACAGGUUUUCGAUGGACUGGAUAUACUUAUUACAUUAGUGUUGGACUAUACAUUGAUUUUAUUUAUAUUACAUUUAUCUUCUUUAUCCUUAGUCAAUACAUAUUUACUGCAGACCCACUAUAAGCCUAGCAUUGUUCUAGGCAGUGAGGACAAGGAGAAGAAUGAAACAGACAAAAUCAUUACCACCUGUGAAUUUGCAUUCAAAAAGGGAAGACAGGUGACAAUCAAAUAGACAAACAUGCAGUGUGAUAGGUGGUGUAGUAGUUCUCUGCCUAUUAUUUAAUAAAAGCUUUGCAUAUGGACUUCCACGGAUUCUGACUUGUAUUUUCAGAAUAAAAUCUUAUUUAAUAAAAACUGAAAAAGUCAGGCACAGUGGUGCACCCCUGUAAUCCCAGUAACUCAAAAGAUUGAGGUAGGAGGAUUUUAAGUUCAAAGCCAGCCUCAGCCAUUUAGCAAGACCUUUUCUCAAAAUAAAAAAUAAAAUGUGUCAGGGGUGAAGCUCAGUGGAGCUCUCUUUGGCUCAAUCCCAAGUACCAUCCAAACAAACAAACAAAAACGAAAAGAAAAAAAAUAAAAGAAACAGUUUACAAUCCUUAUCUACAGUUUGGGUUUGGAUGUAUUAUAACUGCACCCAAAACUCCAGAGAAUCAAGAGUGCUCAAUUGUCCAGUACUUCAAAAUAAAUAAUCUCAAAUAGGCUUAAAAUAACAAUUAUUAUAUCUCUUAUUGCUCUGUAGAUUGACUGGGCUCAGUUGGGCAUUUCUUACUUGGGGUAUCCUACACAUGCAGUCGGAGAUAGCUGGGGCUCAGACAUCCACGGGUCUUAUGGUAUUUGAACUUUUAAUAUAAUAUGUAACAUCCCCUUGAGAGAGCUUUCCAAGUGCAUAAGGCAGAGGCUACUCUACUUUUAGCCUCUCGCCAGAAAUCACAAAAAAUCCCUUAUACCAUACUCUACAGAGAGGACUAAGACUCUAGAUUCAAUAUACUAGAGGUCUUCACAAAGUUGUGUGCAUACCAACAGGCAUGGUUCAUCAGGGAACCUUUGAAGAGACUGGAUACCAUAGCAGGAAAUGUGGCUUAGACAAAAUGAAAUUACACAAUCAUAGAUCACCCCACAGAGCUCAGCAUAAACUAGGUAAAGAUCCCUUUCUAAAACAAUUUCAAAGACACAAGCCUGCUAACUCUCUGGAUCAAGUAAAGCUGGCAGAGGGAAGAAUUGCUGAUAGAGCCAUUGUCUCCAUAGGCAUGACUCUGAUGGGUGGGGCUGGUAAACCUAGACAUCCUUUUGUUGGGGAGAGAGGACUCCUGCCACUGGGAGUACGAAAGCAGUAUUUGUUUCUUUUCUCCAGAAGGAGCUAAGCACAUCUGAAUACCCAAUUCUGCUCUGUUCAGCGCACCGGGUAUACUGUGCUAUCGCUGCCCUACGAUACACACAGUGGCAAUCUGGUCCUAUAACUCCUAAAUGCAUUUUGGACCUGAUGCUAGUCUCUUUAAGUGCAUUUCAUUCCCACUGUUUCACAAGAACCUCCUUUUUCAGAUUAGGAUACUGAGGCACAGAAAUGAAACAGUUUGCGCCAACACAUAGAUAAGUGGUAUCCCAGGAUUCAAACCCAAACAAUCCAAUACCACAGCCCAUUCUCUUGAUGGUUGCACUCCUCUGCUUGGAGAAAAUCACUUCAAUUCUCUGGGUUGCAGGUUCCUCAUCUGUAAGAGAGUUAACACCCCUUCCCUUACACACUUGUGCUAAGAAGUGAGAGUCUGCCCAGUUUUGCCACCUAGAAGCUAUGGAACCUUGCACAAAUUGUUCAACCUUUCUGAGCCGUGGUUUACUUAUCUAAUCAAUGAGUACAUUAUAUUCUUAUGAGAAGCUGAUGGCAUGAUGCAUAUAAAGUACAGUGUAUGGCAUAAGGGGCUUGAUAAAUGCUAUUAACUGGCAUUAAUAUUAUUGCUGUAAGACAGUUUUGAGGUUCUUUACUUAAAUCUAAUACCCUUACAAGUCUUGCUGAAAUUUCUGUUAUUUUGUCUGAUUUUUACUGUUCUCUUAUUUUCCCACCCAGGAAACAGCUGCACAUUUGGGCAGAGGGACAUAGAAAGCAUUGGUAGAUAGUCACGUUGCCACCACAGAUGUCCCUGCCUUGGCUGAGGACAGAAGACAGCAGCCAAUAUUCACAGAGGACUGCAGAUGUUCUCCUUUAACUUGGAUCAGAAGGGCUAUUAUGGACAACACAAUGUGUGGGUAUUGCAGACUUUUCUGUUCGAAAUGGAAUAUUGCAGAAUAUGCACACAUUCAUCCAAAGCUUAUUGAAUACCUACUCUGUGAUGAUUGUCUUGGAAAUACAAAGAUGAAUGGGACAUACUCCCUGUCCCCUAGGACCACAAAAUACAGACAAGGAGACAAAACACACAUAAUUAACUAUAGUACAGUGUGAGGAGUUCUAUGUAUAGCAGAAAUACAAACAGUGGUUGAUCUCAGAAGGAGACAUUUUGUCAGAAGAGGCUUAGAAGGAGACAAGGGAGGCUUCUUGGAGGAUGUGGUAUUUUAUCAGUUCUAUAAAUAAUGAAAGGACUUUACUAAGAGAUAGGGUAGGACAAAGAUCACGGAGGUGGAGGAAAUGAUAUGAAGGCAGAUGGAAAGGAAGGACAGGGAGCUACCUGUUAGAGCAGGGCGUGUGACAAGUGCUACAGAUGGCUGGGCCACCUCCAUCCAUGACUUCACCUUCCCUGGUCAUCUUCCAUAAUGUGACACCUUCUGGUCAUUGAGUCAUAAGCAGAAGAUUGCUGGGUUAGGAUUCGGGGAGAGUGUUUCCCUUACCCGUAAAAACAGGACAGGCUCAAUUAGCAGGCACUUUCCUUCAACUUUUGCCCUUCACAGUCUCUCCUUUCUCCUCCUGGGAAUGGUGGGUGAGAUUCCUGGAGGGGUAUCUUGAGGUCAUGGGGUGAUAAGCAGAAGAAAACCAUAGAGAUACAGGAGCUUGGGCCGUCAUCAGGCACCUUACCAGCCCUUGGGUGGUAGACCUCUUAAUUUCUUAUUUGGUGAGAAAAAUAGCUCUCUGUUUGUUUAAACCAGAGUACACUGGAUGUUCUGUUAAUUCCAAAGGAAUUAAUAGAGGGGGUAAUAAUGACUUAAGGAAUAUAAGGCCAAAAAUAAAUAAAUAAAUAAAUAAAAGAGGGGGAUCUAUAUUGUGAAGGGCCAUAGAGUCCACAUGUGGAAUGACUGUUCCUUAUGUAGUAAGCAGAGGUGAAGUGUAGCCAGGUGGUAGAGCUCAGCAUGCAAGAGGUCCUCGAUUUUAUCCCAGCACAUUAAACAAAAGCAAAAAAACACUUGUUAUUUACUGGGCAAUGGGAAACCAGAGAAGGUUUGUGAAUAGUAAUAAUACUUAAACUGUGCUGUAGGAGAAAUUAUUUGACAACAAAAGAGAAAGUGCUUGGAAUCAAAGAAACUGAGUAAGAAGAAGUUCUAAUGGUUGCUGUACAAAGUAGUGCCUCCUAUUACAAUCUCCAUCACUAGCAGGUAUAUCUGUAUCAUCAGAUAUAUGCAAUUGAUCAUUUCUAUAUUUAGGUAAAGUGUACUUAUAAAACUUGGUCCUGUUACUAAUUUGUAAGUCUAACUAAGAUGAUAUUUUGCUCUACAAAUCAGUUCCUUAAGCGUCCUUUGCAACCAGACUAUAAUUCUUCCCCUCAUUCUUUCCCAUUUCCUACUUAAAAUUUUUCCUUUCCCACCACCCUUAGUAGGAGGGUAGUAAUAAGCAAUGAAGGGAGGGAGACAGGUGAAGGCAUUUCACGGGAAGAACUAACCAGUCUUGCGAAUUGUUUAAAUGUGGCAGGUCAAGAAGCAGGAUGAAUGAGAAAUGACUCCAAGCUAAGGCCUAUGUGGCUCAAAGUCAGGAAAGAGAAUGAAAGGCAUGCAGAAGGGGUGGGAAAUAGUGGGUUCCUCAGGCCAGUGACUGCCAGAAACUGUCUACAUUGGGUGGAUCCCUUCAGGGAGACCUCCUGGUGCUGCACCUUGGUUUAGGGGAUAUAAAGAUCAGUGAGACCCUUGAGGAUCUCACACUUCAUCCAUUUGUAAACAUUCAUUGAGUUGUCUACUGGUAACCAGGCUUUGUGUAAGUGAACACAAAUACAAUAUGCUAAGUUCCAGGGCUCAUGGUGUUUGAUAAUAGAGAAAAACAGAUAAACUAACAAUGGCAAAGCAAGACAUGCCACAGGUGUGUGGCGGAAAUGUUGGGAUAAGCAGAAAAUUGGAGGGAUGUCUGGGAUGCCUUCACAAUGGAGAGGACCUGUCUGAAUGCUAAGUAGGCAAAAGUAUCCCAGACAGAAUAGACAGUAUGUGACCAAGGUGUCACCACACCUAGUACAUCCUGCCAUUGGGUUGCUGCAGCAGUGGUGGGGGAGGAGUAUGUGUAAUUAAGUGGAUGAAUGAAGCCCAAAAUGUAAUCUGCAAUUUACUUGCACAAUUUUCUUAACCACUCUGAGCCUCCUUUGCUUCUCUGUUAAAUGGGAAUAAUUCCGUGGGACUUUUACGAGGAUUAAAUGGGAUAAUGAAUGCUUAACACAGUGCCAAGCAUAGUAAAUGCUCAAUAAAUGUUAGUUGUUGUUAUCCAGUAGGUCACAAGCUGGAUUAGAUGGGCAUUUUAGAAAGACAGAAGUAGUGUGUGCUAGCAGACUGUGGAUACAGGAAGUCCACCUGCGAGCAAGAAGACGGAGCUCAGGGUGAUCAGUGGUAGUGGACAGCCCUGGAAGAUGAUCAGAACAUAAAUAUCCAGUUAGCCCAAAUAGAGUUCCUUAAAUUAGGCUGGCAUAGUAAAUUGUAAAUUCAAAUGCUGCAAAAUGAAAACAAUCAGACUACUAGUAAGCUGGGAAAAAUGUUUAAUUUAUGGAAUCGAUCCUGAAGGUACUGGCAUUUCCUUUAAUUCUAGAGGGUCAGGUAGCUUCAUUCAAUGUAAUAUGUUUUGCACGUUUCCAUCAGAUUCUAUUACACCAUGGCCUUUAUUCAGGCAAUGGAGUAUUUAAUCAGAUACAAAAAGUAUGUCUUGAAUAUUUACUGUGCGCAAAGUAUUAGUAAAAGUGUCAUAAUCUUUAGCACAAGAUCCAAGUUUGUUCGACAAGGUUGUUCUUGUGCCAAAGAGCCCUGGGGGAAAAGAAUGUAUGAUUUUUAAAAUUUGAAGAUGUAGAAGCAAAAAAAAAAUAGUUAUAAACAACUCUGAAAAUUCAAUCACUGAUUCUUUCUAAACUAGUAUAAUACUCAAAAUAAGAAAAAAAAAUAACCUCAAAAUUUUCUCAUGGAAUUUGUUCAGGUCCCAAACAAUAACAUGAUUCUACGGUGCUGUCCUGAGCAGCAUCAGCAGGGGAAACCAAGACACCUCCUCAGCUGUCUGUGGACCUCAAGAGGGUUUGUUCUCAUGGAUACACGUGAGUCUGAAUGUUCACCAGGGUUUCCCACAGUUCUCUCAAUCCAAUGGUGGGUGGUGUAGUAAACAAAAUCACCACAGACACUAGGACCAUUGAUCUAGAACCUACCAUGUGCACAUUGCUUAUCACUAAUCUGUAUAGUAGCCAUGACACAGGCAUCGCCAUCCCCAUUUAACAGAAGAAAAGAAUGAGUGUCCAAAGGUUCAGGAUGAGGAGUCAAGCUGAG